AUACGGAGGAUGCGAGCGUUAUCCGGAUUCAUUGGGGUUUAAAGGGUGCGUAGGCGGACUAUUAAGUCAGUGGUGAAAUCCUGCAGCUUAACUGCAGAACUGGCCAUUGAUACUGAUAGCCUUGAGUUUGGUUAAGGUAGGCGGAAUGUGUAAUGUAGCGGUGAAAUGCUUAGAUAUUACACAGAACACCAAUUGCGUAGGCAGCUUACUGAGCCGACACUGACGCUGAGGCACGAAAGCGUGGGGAUC
This 249-nucleotide ribosomal RNA is filed under the name uncultured bacterium. RNAcentral describes it as "partial 16S ribosomal RNA". It matches the Rfam family "Bacterial small subunit ribosomal RNA", at positions 523 to 769 of the family's 1533-position model. The record is from RNAcentral.